RNAcentral lists this ribosomal RNA (780 nucleotides) under uncultured Neocallimastigales. RNAcentral's name for it is "partial large subunit ribosomal RNA". It matches the Rfam family "Eukaryotic large subunit ribosomal RNA", at positions 26 to 644 of the family's 3401-position model. The record is from RNAcentral. Lineage: Eukaryota; Fungi; Neocallimastigomycota; Neocallimastigomycetes; Neocallimastigales.
CGUCUAUAUACGUAUAGCAUAUCAAUAAGCGGAGGAAAAGAAACUAACAAGGAUUCCCUUAGUAACGGCGAGUGAAGCGGGAAGAGCUCAAAUUUGAAAUCUUCAAGGUUCUACCUUGACGAAUUGUAGUUUAAAGAAGUGUUUUCUGUUAGAUGAGUAGCAAAAGUUCCUUGGAAUGGGACAUCAUAGAGGGUGAGAAUCCCGUACUUGGUUAUUCAUUCUAGCUGUGUGAUACACUUUCAAAGAGUCGGAUUGUUUGGGAAUGCAGUCCAAAAUGGGUGGUAAAUUUCAUCUAAAGCUAAAUAUUGGCGAGAGACCGAUAGCGAACAAGUACCGUGAGGGAAAGAUGAAAAGAACUUUGAAAAGAGAGUUAAACAGUACGUGAAAUUGUCAAAAGGGAAGCGUUUGACACCAUGUGUUGUUUUUCCGAAAAUCAAUUACGAAUGUUUUGUUUUUAAGGAGUUAUGACUUCAUCGGCUUGCUCCUUUCUUUACGAAACUUUCUUAAUGCACUUUUCGGUUAACAAGUCAACAUCAAUUUCUUUUGUUGUAAAAGAGGUAUGCGGAAGGUGGCUUUCUUUUCGGAGAAAGUGUUUAUAGCCCUAGUGACUUCUACAAUCGGAGAGAUUGAGGUCUGCAGCGUAGAUCCUUCGGGGUUAGAUACACUUGUGCUAAGUUGUAGCUUUUCAUAGACAACUUGUUGACUAUGAUCAGUCAUGUAGGCUUACUCGCUUAGUGCUAUUUUACCUACGCUUAGGAUGUUGACUGAUAUGUAGUCGUA